Molecule: small nucleolar RNA, 69 nt
Filed under: Kryptolebias marmoratus (mangrove rivulus)
Lineage: Eukaryota; Metazoa; Chordata; Actinopteri; Cyprinodontiformes; Rivulidae
Description: Small nucleolar RNA SNORD75 (ENSKMAG00000022273.1)
Rfam family: Small nucleolar RNA SNORD75
About the family: U75 (SNORD75) belongs to the C/D class of snoRNAs which contain the C (UGAUGA) and D (CUGA) box motifs. Most of the members of the box C/D family function in directing site-specific 2'-O-methylation of substrate RNAs.
Source: Rfam by way of RNAcentral
AGUCAAUGAUUAAAAUGUGUAAGAGUAGUGGACAGAAGAGAUUUCUGAGGAUUUUUCCACAAUGAGGCU